GGUGAACGCUGGCGGUAUGCCUAAGACAUGCAAGUCGAACGGGCUGUUUAUGCAGCCAGUGGCGGACGGGUGAGUAACACGUAGGUGACCUACCCCAAAGUCUGGGACAACUAGGAGAAAUCUUAGCUAAUCCUGGAUGUGGACAUCUACUUUGGUGGAUGUUUAAAGCUUCGGCGCUUUGGGAUGGGCCUGCGGCGCAUCAGGUAGUUGGUGGGGUAAUGGCCUACCAAGCCGACGACGCGUAGCUGGUCUGAGAGGACGAUCAGCCACAGGGGUA
RNAcentral lists this ribosomal RNA (277 nucleotides) under uncultured bacterium. RNAcentral describes it as "partial 16S ribosomal RNA". It matches the Rfam family "Bacterial small subunit ribosomal RNA", at positions 28 to 318 of the family's 1533-position model. The record is from RNAcentral.